This 522-nucleotide unclassified non-coding RNA is filed under the name Hevea brasiliensis (rubber tree). The record is from RNAcentral. Lineage: Eukaryota; Viridiplantae; Streptophyta; Magnoliopsida; Malpighiales; Euphorbiaceae.
GAUGGAGGCAAACGGAUGGGUCUUAAUUUUGAGAGAGUGAAGUAUUGGUUAUCAGUGGGUGCUCAGCCUUCAGAUCCUGUCCAACGCAUCCUUUUCAGAGCGGGGUUACUACCCCCACCACCAAUGGUGGCGAUGGGGCGUAAAGGUGGACCUCGCGACACACGUCCAGUUGAUCCAAUGACUGGACGAAUUUUGGAUCCAGAGAAGAUGUCCAAUGUUCUGCCCAAUCAAAAAGCCAAGGAAGCUGGAACAACCAACCCAUGAAACUUCCAUUUUCGCAGUUCUCUAGUCUUUUCUCUUUCAUAAAGGAAGGAGGACCUUUUAGGGUGGGUGAGUAGGUGUGAUUCCACAAUAUUUGCACUUUGAUCGCCUGAAGGAUGAAUAUUGUGAAAAAUAACUCACUGAACAUAAUCCAGUGCUUACCAGGUUCAGGGAUGAAUUUCUUGGACGUCCCGGAAUCAGCUUCAGAUUUAUCUAGCUUUGGUGCACGCCUAUGUCAUAAGUUUUCUUUAUUGAUGCCCU